This 145-nucleotide unclassified non-coding RNA is filed under the name soil metagenome. Its description in RNAcentral is "partial internal transcribed spacer 1". The record is from RNAcentral.
UAAUAAGUGUUUUAUGGCACUUUUUAAAUCCAUAUCCACCUUGUGUGCAAUGUCGGUCGAUCUUCUUCAUGGAGAUCGACCAAACAUCAACCUUUAUCUUUUAACUCUUUGUCUGAAAAAUAUUAUGAAUAAACAAUUCAAAAUG